GACGAACGCUGGCGGCGUGCCUAAUACAUGCAAGUCGAACGAGAAAUUCUUACACCGGAUGCUUGCAUCCACCGUAAGAUUUCGAGUGGCGGACGGGUGAGUAACACGUGGGUAACCUGCCCAAAAGAAGGGGAUAACAUUUGGAAACAAGUGCUAAUACCGUAUAACCAUGAUGACCGCAUGGUCAUGAUGUAAAAGGUGGUUUUGCUAUCGCUUUUGGAUGGACCCGCGGCGUAUUAACUAGUUGGUAAGGUAACGGCUUACCAAGGUGAUGAUACGUAGCCGAACUGAGAGGUUGAUCGGCCACAAUGGGACUGAGACACGGCCCAUACUCCUACGGGAGGCAGCAGUAGGGAAUCUUCCACAAUGGGCGCAAGCCUGAUGGAGCAACGCCGCGUGAAUGAAGAAGGCUUUCGGGUUGUAAACUUCUUUGACCAGGGAAGAAACAAAUGACGGUACCUGGAAAACAAGCCACGGCUAACUACGUGCCAGCCGCCGCAGUAACAC
RNAcentral lists this ribosomal RNA (507 nucleotides) under uncultured bacterium. RNAcentral's name for it is "bacterial SSU rRNA". It matches the Rfam family "Bacterial small subunit ribosomal RNA", at positions 28 to 526 of the family's 1533-position model. The record is from RNAcentral.